Molecule: ribosomal RNA, 440 nt
Filed under: uncultured bacterium
Lineage: Bacteria
Description: partial 16S ribosomal RNA
Rfam family: Bacterial small subunit ribosomal RNA
Source: RNAcentral
CCUACGGGUGGCAGCAGUGGGGAAUAUUGCACAAUGGGGGAAACCCUGAUGCAGCGAAGCCGCGUGAAGGAUGCAGUACUUCGGUAUGUAAACUUCUAUCAGCAGGGAAGAAAAUGACGGUACCUGACUAAGAAGCCCCGGCUAACUACGUGCCAGCAGCCGCGGUAAUACGUAGGGGGCAAGCGUUAUCCGGAUUUACUGGGUGUAAAGGGAGCGUCGACGGUAUGGCAAGUCUGAUGUGAAAACCCGGGGCUCAACCCCGGGACUGCAGUGGAAACUGCCGAACUAGAGUGUCGGAGAGGCAAGUGGAAUGACUAGUGUAGCGGUGAAAUGCGUAGAUAUUAGGAGGAACACCAGUGGCGAAGGCGGCUUGCUGGACGAUGACUGACGUUGAGGCUCGAAAGCGUGGGGAGCAAACAGGAUUAGAUACCCUUGUAGUC